RNAcentral lists this ribosomal RNA (468 nucleotides) under uncultured bacterium. Its description in RNAcentral is "partial 16S ribosomal RNA". It matches the Rfam family "Bacterial small subunit ribosomal RNA", at positions 28 to 507 of the family's 1533-position model. The record is from RNAcentral.
GACGAACGCUGGCGGCGUGCUUAACGCAUGCAAGUCGAACGGAAAGGCCCUGCUUUUGUGGGGUGCUCGAGUGGCGAACGGGUGAGUAUCACGUGAGUAACCUGCCCUUGUCUUUGGGAUAACUUAAGGAAACUGGAGCUAAUACAGGACAUGAGCUCCUUCAGCAUGGGGGGGGUUGGAAAGUGUCGGCGGUUGGGGAUGGACUCGCGGCUUAUCAGCGUGUUGGUGGGGUGGUGGCGUACCCAGGCUUUGAGGGGUAGCCGGCCUGAGAGGGUGACAGGGCACAUUGGGACUGAGAUACGGCCCAGACUGCUACGGGAGGCAGCGGCGGGAAGCAGUGCACACUGGGCGGAAGCCUGAUGGAGCAACGUCGCGUGCGGGAUGACGGUUUUUGGGUUAUAACCCGCUUUAGCCUGUGACGCAGCGUGAGUGACGGUAACGGGUAAAGAAGCACCGGCUAACUACGUG